This 517-nucleotide ribosomal RNA is filed under the name Streptococcus thermophilus. RNAcentral describes it as "bacterial SSU rRNA". It matches the Rfam family "Bacterial small subunit ribosomal RNA", at positions 80 to 584 of the family's 1533-position model. Lineage: Bacteria; Bacillati; Bacillota; Bacilli; Lactobacillales; Streptococcaceae. The record is from RNAcentral.
UGCUUCUCUGUAUGAGUUGCGAACGGGUGAGUAACGCGUAGGUAACCUGCCUGGUAGCGGGGGAUAACUAUUGGAAACGAUAGCUAAUACCGCAUAAUAGUAGAUGUUGCAUGACAUUUGCUUAAAAGGUGCAAUUGCAUCACUACCAGAUGGACCUGCGUUGUAUUAGCUAGUUGGUGGGGUAACGGCUCACCAAGGCGACGAUACAUAGCCGACCUGAGAGGGUGAUCGGCCACACUGGGACUGAGACACGGCCCAGACUCCUACGGGAGGCAGCAGUAGGGAAUCUUCGGCAAUGGACGGAAGUCUGACCGAGCAACGCCGCGUGAGUGAAGAAGGUUUUCGGAUCGUAAAGCUCUGUUGUAAGAGAAGAACGAGUGUGAGAGUGGAAAGUUCACACUGUGACGGUAUCUUACCAGAAAGGGACGGCUAACUACGUGCCAGCAGCCGCGGUAAUACGUAGGUCCCGAGCGUUGUCCGGAUUUAUUGGGCGUAAAGCGAGCGCAGGCGGUUAGAU